UGGAGAGUUUGAUCCUGGCUCAGGACGAACGCUGGCGGCGUGCUUAACACAUGCAAGUCGAACGGAAAGGCCCUUCGGGGUGCUCGAGUGGCGAACGGGUGAGUAACACGUGGGUGAUCUGCCCUGCACUUUGGGAUAAGCCUGGGAAACUGGGUCUAAUACCGAAUAGGACUCCGGACUGCAUGGUCUGGGGUGGAAAGCUUUUGCGGUGUGGGAUGGGCCCGCGGCCUAUCAGCUUGUUGGUGGGGUGAUGGCCUACCAAGGCGACGACGGGUAGCCGGCCUGAGAGGGUGACCGGCCACACUGGGACUGAGAUACGGCCCAGACUCCUACGGGAGGCAGCAGUGGGGAAUAUUGCACAAUGGGCGCAAGCCUGAUGCAGCGACGCCGCGUGGGGGAUGACGGCCUUCGGGUUGUAAACCUCUUUCAGCACAGACGAAGCGCAAGUGACGGUAUGUGCAGAAGAAGCACCGGGCAACUACGUGCCAGCAGCCGCGGUA
Molecule: ribosomal RNA, 500 nt
Filed under: Mycolicibacterium mageritense
Lineage: Bacteria; Bacillati; Actinomycetota; Actinomycetes; Mycobacteriales; Mycobacteriaceae
Description: bacterial SSU rRNA
Rfam family: Bacterial small subunit ribosomal RNA
Source: RNAcentral